Oncorhynchus keta (chum salmon) is the source of this 575-nucleotide long non-coding RNA. RefSeq lists it as uncharacterized. The record is from RefSeq and is a predicted model, not a curated record. NCBI's taxonomy places the organism in Eukaryota, Metazoa, Chordata, Actinopteri, Salmoniformes, Salmonidae. The transcript has 3 exons.
UUAGAUUACUCGUUGGUUAUCACUGCAUUGUCGGAACUAGAAGCACAAGCAUUUCGCUACACUCGCAUUAACAUCUGCUAACCAUGUGUAUGUGACAAAUAACAUUUGAUUUGAUUUCAAAUGGAAUGCGCCACUAAUUCCACUCCAGCCAUUAGCUCGAGCCCGUCCUCCCCAAUUAAGGUGCCACCAACCCCCUGUGACUUUAAGUACACCUCACCUUCGUUGGGGUCCAACUUUAGUUCCCUCUGUCUGUCUCUAUAGGAGUUUAAUGAUGAGGUGUCUGUUGUUCCCUCUGUCUGUCUCUAUAGGAGUUUAAUGAUGAGGUGUCUGUUGUCCCCUCUGUCUGUCUCUAUAGGAGUUUAAUGAUGAGGUGUCUGUUGUUCUCUCUCUCUGUCUCUAUAGGAGUUUAAUGAUGAGGUGUCUGUUGUUCUCUCUGUCUGUCUCUAUAGGAGUUUAAUGAUGAGGUGUCUGUCCCCUCUGUCUGUCUCUAUAGGAGUUUAAUGAUGAGGUGUCUGUCCCCUCUGUCUGUCUCUAUAGGAGUUUAAUGAUGAGGUGUCUGUUGUUCUCUCUGUCUG